AUCCAGCCGACGAGUCCCAAAUAGGACGAAACGUGCGUCCUGGAU
Schistosoma rodhaini is the source of this 45-nucleotide non-coding RNA. Lineage: Eukaryota; Metazoa; Platyhelminthes; Trematoda; Strigeidida; Schistosomatidae. The record is from Rfam.